GUGUUAUACGGAAAGAGGGGAGGCUAACAUUCCCCUUGAUGAGGGCCUAGAGCACGCAAACAGGUAAAGCAAGCAUUACCACCUACUUAGUUGCAUCCACUGCUUUUU
Small nuclear RNA from Mesocricetus auratus (golden hamster), 108 nucleotides. Lineage: Eukaryota; Metazoa; Chordata; Mammalia; Rodentia; Cricetidae. The record is from Ensembl.